CACAAAACGUCCCCGCUCACUCCUGAACAAUUCUACCGGAGCCCCCCGACUCACCUCCUCCACGGCGCUGACCGCCCUUGCGGAGCGCAUUGCCCUUACGAGCACGAGGCAUUCCUGGAACUAGGAGUCGGGGACACGAAAUCCUGGCAGCCGUUGGAAAGAGGGACGCUCAAGCAACCAAGAACCCAGCCCUGGAAACCCGCCAGCUGCCCACUUGUCCCUGCUGACCUCAGGACUGAAGGGCUUCAUUCUCCAGAUUUGCUGGCCAUGCUGUGGAAGCGCGAGCAUGGCUUGACUGAAUUAUGUCCCACAAACUGGCCCUAGUGACAGCAACUCUGAGAAGCUGCUGCUGUGGCUGCUGCAGCUGCAGCUUCGGGGAAAUUCUGAGCUUUUGUAGUCACUCCACCCAAUUUACAGGCUGGUCUUGGCACAGGGUGGGACUGGGGCGAGACUAGCUACAGCCCCUCCCACUCAGGCAGCACUUGGGGAGGGCUUUGUGUCCUUCCUGGGGCUGCAGGCAGACAUAACCAACAGGUCAAGCGAAUGUGUGUGGUGCUGCAGUGUGGUCCCGGAGGGCUUUAUAUUAGAGUAUCUUCUCCACACCACUGUGGCUGUGACAUUUCAGGCUCUAGGCAUUUUUGUGUUGUGAGUGCCUUCCUUAUUAAAACAAGUGUUUUUGUUUUAUUCCUCUAUCCCUCCCCCCCACCCCUCUCUGUGCAGUGCUGGGAAUAGGACCCAAAGCUUCAUGCUUGCUAGCCAAAUGCUCCAUCACUGAGCUAUUCCUAGCCCUUCAAAAAGGCAUUUUAAAAUAUAAGAAGGCCUAGUGUGAUAGCCCAGCCAGUAGAAACACCUGUAGACUAGCCUGAUGACCUGAGUUCAAUUCCUGGGACACACUUGGUAGAACUAGUGUGUCCAGACAUAACCAGUCAAUUAAAUGUGUGAUCCCUGAGGACUAUGUGCUUAUAGAGUGCUUUCUCUACACCACUGUGACAAGUGGUGUCUUCUGAUGCUACCUGAACACCAUGGCACACACAUGCCCACAUGAGGAACAUGAAGGGCUACUUACAGAGGCAGCAUGGGUGACAAAGGCAGCUGCAUCAUCAAAAGAUUCACCCUAGCACGGGGAACAACACACAAAAGCUGUUUUCCUCGGAACAGCUUGCCAACUUGCAGACCCGAGAGAAGGCUGUGACUCAGAUGGCAAGAGGGACAUGUGACAGGAGCCCACUGCCCUUGGGAGCAGAAAUGCCCUUGUCUAGGAACAUCCCGGAAGAUCAGGCACCACUUCCCCUUUCUCCGAGGGUGGUUGAGGUAAGAAAGUUGGCCUUGGCCCAGCCUGGGAUAUUGGGAAAGGUGGCAGAUACACAGCUAGUUCUAAUAGUCACACAGCGGUGGGAACCCUACCCUCAGCACAAUUGCUGAGCGGGCAGCUCUGCCUUCCUAGGCCCCAGUGAGCACACAGCCGAGGGGGUC
Molecule: non-coding RNA, 1473 nt
Organism: Cricetulus griseus (Chinese hamster)
Lineage: Eukaryota; Metazoa; Chordata; Mammalia; Rodentia; Cricetidae
Source: RefSeq, a predicted model, not a curated record